GACGGAGGAUGCAAGCGUUAAUCGGACUUACUGGGCGUAAAGCGUGCGUAGGUGGCGGUUUAAGUCUGCUGUGAAAGCCCGGGGCUCAACCUGGGAACGGCAGUGGAGACUGAACGGCUCGAGUGCCAGAGAGGAUCGUGGAACUCCCGGUGUAGCAGUGAAAUGCGUAGAGAUCGGGAAGAACACCCAUGGCGAAGGCAGCGGUCUGGCUGGACACUGACACUGAGGCACGAAGGCGUGGGGAGCAAACGGG
This 253-nucleotide ribosomal RNA is filed under the name uncultured bacterium. Its description in RNAcentral is "partial 16S ribosomal RNA". It matches the Rfam family "Bacterial small subunit ribosomal RNA", at positions 524 to 776 of the family's 1533-position model. The record is from RNAcentral.